Molecule: ribosomal RNA, 479 nt
Filed under: uncultured Planctomycetota bacterium
Lineage: Bacteria; Pseudomonadati; Planctomycetota
Description: bacterial SSU rRNA
Rfam family: Bacterial small subunit ribosomal RNA
Source: RNAcentral
UUUCGCAAUGCCCGAAAGGGUGACGAAGCGACGCCGCGUGCGGGAAGAAGGCCUUCGGGUUGUAAACCGCUGUCGGGAGUUAAGAAAUGUAAGGAUGUUAAUAGCAUCUUUGCUUGACUAAGGCUCCGGAGGAAGCCACGGCUAACUCUGUGCCAGCAGCCGCGGUAAUACAGAGGCGGCAAGCGUUGUUCGGAAUUAUUGGGCGUAAAGAGCACGUAGGCGGCUAUGUAAGUCGGUUGUGAAAGCCUUCCGCUCAACGGGAGAACAGCAUCCGAUACUGCAUGGCUUGAGUGCGGGAGGGGAGAGUGGAACUUCUGGUGGAGCGGUGAAAUGCGUAGAUAUCAGAAGGAACGCCGGCGGCAAAAGCGGCUCUCUGGCCCAUAACUGACGCUGAGUGUGCGAAAGCUAGGGGAGCAAACGGGAUUAGAUACCCCGGUAGCCCUAGCCGUAAACGAUGGGCACUAAGUAGAGGGGUUUUA